CGACCGGCGCACGGGUGAGUAACACGUAUCCAACCUGCCGUCUACUCUUGGACAGCCUUCUGAAAGGAAGAUUAAUACAAGAUGGCAUCAUGAGUCCGCAUGUUCACAUGAUUAAAGGUAUUCCGGUAGACGAUGGGGAUGCGUUCCAUUAGAUAGUAGGCGGGGUAACGGGCCCACCUAGUCUUCGAUGGGUAGGGGGUUCUGAGAGGAAGGGUCCCCCACAUUGGAACUGAGANACGGUCCAAACUCCUACGGGAGGCAGCAUG
RNAcentral lists this ribosomal RNA (266 nucleotides) under uncultured bacterium. RNAcentral's name for it is "partial 16S ribosomal RNA". It matches the Rfam family "Bacterial small subunit ribosomal RNA", at positions 92 to 353 of the family's 1533-position model. The record is from RNAcentral.